GCUCUCUGUGUACAUGGCAACCUCCAAUCCAAGUGUUUGUUUGAAGCUCCUCAUCGAUACAAAGGGUAAACGAGUUCUCUUUGCUGAAGCUGGCAAAGACUUUGUGGACUUUCUCCUCACAAUCCUGUCUUUGCCUCUUGGCACUGUCAUCCGCCUCCUCUCCAAAGAUGGCAUGGUUGGCUCGUUAGGCAAGCUUUAUGGCAGUGUCGAAAGCCUAAGCAGCACAUACAUGCAACCACACUUUAACAAGGAAUCCCUUCUGAAACCUAAGGCAACUGCAACAAGUGAUGUUGGUGCUGAUGUCCUUCAUAUGCUGACGAUAGAUGACUCCUCUGCUGAAAAGUCAAUCUAUGGUUGUCGUAAUUGUUGUUGUAAUUACAGCAGCAACCGGCCAAUCGUUGUAACCGACGACCCUAAAGCCACUUGUCCGCACUGCCGUUCAAGCAUAACUUCACCGGCGACUUUUGUCCAUCGAUCCGCUGCUGAAAGAACAACGUCCGGCGAGGGAGGGUAUGUGAAAGGUGUUGUGACUUAUAUGAUUAUGGAUGACCUGGAGGUGAAGCCUAUGUCUACCAUUUCAAGCGUAACCAUGCUCAACACGUUCAACGUCAAGGAUGUCGGUGCCCUUGAAGAGAAGGAGGUCCAUCUUACCAUGGAAGAGGUCUGAAAAGUACCUAAUCACACCCGGUUUUUUUUUUUUACUGUUCUCUCAAUUUUAUGAGUCCAUAUUUUGCAAUCGACCUAAUGUGUGAUCUAAACCUUGUACGUAGGGUGUCAAAUUGCUGAGGGUAUCAUUGCUGUCAAACUUGGUUCUGACCACCGUGUUCCUUGAUAAGAAUGAAGCGUGAACACCUCAACUUUAUUUGCACUUCAACUGCAAGUAUUAUGGAAUGAACAGUCUGAAUUUUCUACGAGGUGUUUGUUUGUGUUUGUUUCUGAAUGAUAUUUUGUUUUGCUUACCUGGUAAUGUAAUGUAAUUAAUGACCUAUGUAGUUUUGGGUUUCAAACUUUUUAGAUGUUAUGUAAUCUAGGACUUUUGUUUGAAGGUUCCUGUCUAGAUCUAUUGUACCUUUGGUUUUGGAUUUGGACUAUGUUCUGUUAUGUAUUGUUAUUUUGGAAGUGAUACUGUCUCGUUUUGGAUUUCAGUUCUUUUAUGUUGAAUUAUAUUUUGAUAUAAAUUAUGUUCUCUUAUUCUGUAGUCAUAUGGUUUUGCAGCUACACAAUGCCCUUUUAAGUGCUGGACUAUCAUUCACCAUACAAUUGCUACAAAAAUAUUUAAAUAAAGUUAGUCUUCCAUUAUUGUCCUUUGGAAAAAGAAAAGGGGUCGGAUCAACGUCCAAGCUGAUGCAGACGGUCUUGCUUUUCAUACAAAUCCCACCACUACAUGUUCACUUUCUUAUUUACAAAGUUUGAAAAGAAAAAAAAGAAAAACACAAUUUAAUAAUUCAACUGAAAUAAUGCGAAGUCUUUGCUUUUCGUACAAAGCUCAUGCAAACUCAUCAAUUUAAAUUACAGCCACGACAACAAAGUAGAACAAACGAGUGUGAUCUAAAAUCAUUUUUGUGAUUUAGAGCAUUCUUAAUGCAAAUUUUAGACCUAUAUUUUUAUAUUUAAAUUUUAAGAAAAAUGCCAAUUUGGGUGUUGGAACCAAAUUAGUGCACUGCCGUGGUUGGGGCAAAAAUCCAAGUAACAUGUAAAACAGCAAACAACCGUGAGCAACAGCCUAAGAUGCGAGGGUGUAUUGGUCAAAGGUUCUCCGAUAGUAAAGUUAGUAAGCAAGUAUAAGACUCAAGCAAUGGGUAAGAGAAUUAGAGUGCGAUGAUUGUGUUACCAGAGACAAACUCUAGAUGGGUGUAUUUAUACCAGUCGGGAGAGAGACAUUUUUAGGAUAGAAUCCUCGUGCUAAGCCAGGAGAAUUCUAGAAGAUAUCUAAAAGUAGAUAUUGCUUCCUCUUUAGGAAUGUGAUUAGUUGUGGUGUACACCAAUAUUUAGAUUGGAAGAACUCCAAGAUACAUAGAGGAUCUGAUUGAUUUCGUGCUAGAUCAGACAUUGUUAUCUUGCGGAACAAAAAUGGUCAUUCUCGAUGAAGUCGCUCGGAUUUCUCUCACUGCUCAGGAACAGGAUGAUGAUGACACCAGCUUGAGUAAACCCUAAUGCACAAUCACUGCAUUGUUUAUUGCAGUUAGUUUUAAGAAUCAAAACAAGAACAAGCAUACUAACCUGUAGGGGCAAGUGUUCUAUACGGAAAAUCACAAUUUAUACCGAGUGGAGGGACGAACCUUUUUGUCUAUAUCUUUUGGCAACUGCCUCCUCCAAUUAAGGAGGUAGUGCCUUGCAGUUUGUUAUCAAUUAUCUGCUUAUUAAGUUCAAAUUAUACUUAAUUAAUGAUAUUUCCGUCCAAUAUAGUUAUUUAAUAUCCAGACAUUAUAACCCUAGUGAAGUCCUAUAGUUAUCAUAACUCAUCUUAGUUAGCUCAUGCUUCUUACAAUGUUUGAUGAGCUCACAUAAGGAACUCUACAUUCUCGCACAUGAGUGAGAUCAAACAUGCUCAACAGUAUUGCAUUUGCUUGGAUAAAAGUGAUCACUGAGUUACUUUAACUAAUCGACUUCGACAAUUAACCAAAACAUCAUACUUGCAGGACUCAAGAAACCAUGAUAUCAAAUUCUUGCAUCAGUUUCCAUAGUCACAUACUCAUACAAUAUAUUAUAGCUAUUGUCAUCGAGAAAACAUAAAUUGGGAUCAAAAUAGUAUACUAAUAUGUAAACUCCCACAUUUUUGGUCCAAAUAUAUCAUGAAUAUCUCAUUCAUAUUAACCUUGCAAAGAUUUACUUCAUAUAAUUAACAUGUUCAGAAAUUGUGCAUUGCAUAAUAGAUGAAACAAAUCAACUCAGUACAUUUCUUAGCAUGUAAUAUAAAAAAAAUAGUAAGGUUUUCAUUCUUAAGUAACUUACUCCCACAUUAAUAAUGAUCCAGUGAAGGCUGCAAUCCCAUUUUCAAGACAUGUUUGUUGAAGACUAUGACAUUCAGGGCUUAGUUAAUGGAUCUGCAAUCGUGUCAUGAGUACUGAUGUGUUCAAUCUAUAUGACUCCUCCCCUCACUUUGUCUUGCACCUUCAAAUAUUUGAUGUCCAUCAAUUUCGAAGCCUCUGACCUCUUCUUGUUCUUUGCAAAGAAGACUGCUGCAGUGUUAUCACAGAAAAUCUUCACUGGUCUCUCUAUACUUCUUACAAUUUUCAUGUGAUAGAUCAAAUCCUUCAUCCAAUUCCCUUGUCUCAUUGCUUCAAAACAUACUAUAGAUUCUGAUUCCAUGGUUAACACUGCCCUAUUGCUUUUUACUUCUCCAAGAUAUUGCCCCCUCCAACAAACAUGAAAAUGUAGCCACUGGUAGACAUUCUAUAAUCUACACAACCUCCCAAUCAGCAUCAGUGUAAUCAAUUUUAAGUUAUCAACAUGACUGUAACACAGUACAUACUGAUGUGUCUUCUUCAAGUAUCUGAGAACUUUCUUCGGAACCUCCCAAAGGUUUCUUUUACUAAUUUCAUUUUAAGGUUGUGAUAAGUCAAUAUUAUACUAUAUAUUUUACCCUAUACUUAGUGUUAAUCUAUUGGUUAUUUUGUGUGAACUUUGAUACUUCGUUAUGUAUUUUCAAUGUAAGACAUUCGACUUCCUCUUAAGCAAAAAGUGACCAAAUGGAUGAAUUUUCGAGUGAUUCCAAUUGGAGGAUGUUCAUGAUCUUUCAAGAUGAUUGUGUCAAAGUUUUAGAUUUUUCUACCAUGUCUUUUGACCGUGACAAUGAAAUAAUGGCACAGCGCGCAGCUUUCCCAUAUUGACGUUUUUGGACGUUUUAGGUAUUUUCAAGGUCAAUAUGGCAUAUUUUGAGGAAGAUUCCUUCAGAGUUGUUUAUACCAUACUUAGGGUCUCCGUAUUUAGAUCUCGUAUAAAUACUCGGGGAACUCAAAUGUAAUUAUGUAAUAAAUGGAGGGGCAAAUAUGUAAAAAGGGGAGGAGCCCUUAUUCUAUAAAAGGGCAUCCUCACCCUCACAAACCCUAAGCCUCCUCAUAUCCCCUAAGCUCUAAGCUCUCUAAAAGCUCUCACUCUCAUAUGCAGAGCUCUAUCUCCCUCAGAAAUACAAUAUUAGUGUGGACGUAGUCCAAACAUUGGGGUGAACCACGAUACAUCUUGUGUUAUUUACUUUUUUGCAGAUUCACGGUCGGAUUUACGUUGUUCCAAGACCCCUCCAGUUUUGUGCAUCAACAUUUGGCGCCGUCUGUGGGAAACGACAUAAAAAAAAUCAUGUCGGUUCUCUUUCAUUUUUUCACCUCCACCGUGAAUCUGUAAAAAUCAAGAACCCAGAGUUUUCCUAAAAAAAAAAAACCCAGAAACUUACAAACUCUCGCUUUCCCGACUCCUUCUCAUCUCUCUCUUUCCCCUGUUUCUCUAUCUAGAUAUACGCAUAUAUAUAUAUGCAGCAGCGAGGCAGAGCGAACAACCGAAGAUCCAGGAGCUUUUCGAGAUCACGCAUUGCGGUUGAGGGAUCUUAGCCCGGGUCUUCUUCCUCUCCUCAUCUCACUCGCUCUCGUUCGAAUUUGAAUUCUCAACUCUCUCGAUCGCCAUUUCUGUCAACAAUGGCUGCUUUUGCUAAUGGGCAAGAGUGGGAGGUGCAGAAGAAUUAUUGGGUGGAGCACUCCACCGAUUUGACCGUUGAGGCCAUGAUGCUCGACUCCAAGGCCUCUGAUCUCGACAAGGAAGAACGACCUGAGGUGCUUUCGUUGCUCCCUCCCUAUGAGGGCAAAUCGGUUGUAGAACUCAGGGCUGGGAUUGGUCGUUUCACUGGAGAAUUAGCUGAAAAUGCCAGUCAGCUUUUCACAUUGGACUUCAUUGAUAGUGUGAUAAAGAAGAAUGAAAGCAUUAAUGGACACCAUAAGAACGUCAAGUUCAUAUGGGCUGAUGUGACAUCACCUGAUCUGAAGAUUUCUGAAAACUCGGUGGAUUUGGUAUUCUCAAAUUGGCUUCUUAUGUAUCUGUCAGAUAAGGAGGUAGAGUAUUUGGUGGAAAAGAUGAUGGGAUGGUUGAAGGUCGGUGGAUAUAUCUUUUUUAGAGAAUCUUAUUUCCACCAAUCUGGAGACUCCAAACGAAAAUCCAACCCAACUCAUUACAAGGAACCAAGAUUUUAUACCAAGGUCCAUCAGUUAGUGGUACUGGUUUUGUCCCAGAUGAUGAACCAAAAUCUGAGUCUUCAUCGGAAAGGGCACAGCGCCAAAAGCGAAAAGCAGAAACUAGAAGACAGCAGCAGCAUCAGCAUCUUACUGGCCAAGCAGAAAGCUCAGGAAAUAGCGAACGGGCUCUCGUUCCGGGUCGGGUUCUUCGAUCACAGUGGCCACCUCCAGCUCGAGCCCCUCUCCACUGUCGAGAGCUUCGACCCCAUCAAGUCUCUCCCUGGUUUCGCCGUCACACUGUUGAUAGCAGAAGAAGAGCUCUGCAGUCCCUUGGCCUGGAUGAGGAGAAGAGCUCCACGUCUCGCCGAUCUCGAGCAGGACCACAAUAGUAACUGUAAAUACAGUGAAAUCUAGGAGAAAAAGAUAUAGGGGAUUCACUCUCGAACCUAACGGAUGAGACGAAUGGGUCGGGUCAUGGACCGGGUCUUGGCGACACUCGAAAGUUGUGCAACGCUACACCUUCCACCAGGUCCCACAUCAACCCUCCUAUGGUUGGCUCGAAGUAGAUCGGACAACAGCCUUUCACUCAGCACCCAGGAUCAUGGACAACGACCUGCUGGAUGAGAUCAAUAAAAGCACUCUAAUGGGGUUUUACAGCUGGAGUACACCAGCUGGUGUUCAGACAGCAGAAAAAGAAAAAGGGAAGAAAAUGAAUACAGAAAGGAAAAUCCAGGAUUAUACUUUUGCUUUUGUCGACCACCAAAGCAGAAGAUGUCAUCAACUUUUAAAAAAAGAAAACUUUCAUCAUGUAUGUUCCCAUUUUUCUGAAGAAGCCACUGGAAGACGCACAUGGAAAAAGAUCUGCAACAACCCAGUACGGACCAACGACUGCUUUAUUUAUUUUUGAAUGAUGUAAUUUUUUUUUCUUAUCUUUCGGAGACAUCUGUAUAAACCCCAUCAGAGAGUAAAAAAAAGGAAUAAUGGGCUAGAAGGUUAUGUGGAGGGCGAAGACCUAUAUGCCUAAAAGAGCCAGACCCUCUAUUAUCACCAACCAGGUGAUCAAAAGUACAUCCAAUACUACAAAAAAUUAUUCAGCAGCCUGCCACUGUUAUCACCAACCAGGUGAUCAAAAGUACGCCCAGUACUCCAAAAUUAUUUGGCACCCUACCGCUAUUAUCACCAACCAGGUGAUCAAAAGUACACCCAGUACUCCAAAAUUAUACAUGAGCAUUACUCAUGUCAAUCAUACAUAAACAUUUCAUAAGCAUCACUCAUGUCAAUCAUACAUAAACAUUCAUGACCAUCAUUCAUGUCAACAUUCAUAAGCAUCACUCAUGUCAACAUUCAUGAGUAUCACUCAUGUCAACAUCCAUGAGCAUCACUCAUGUUAAUCAACAUAAACAUUCAUGAGCAUCACUUAUGUCAAUCAGCUUCAAAAGCUUCAUUUACAGAGCUCUAACUUCAAAAACUUCAUUUACAGAGCUCUAGCUUCAAAGCUUCAACUUGCAAAGCUUCACCUAUAAAGCUUCAGUGCAUGGUCUACAAAGACCGCCUCCGAAUAACCGUUAUUUCGGCCCAUACAUGGAUUGAAUUUAAAGUAUCCAGCCAACAGCCUCUAUUGACCGAAGACUUGGGGGGCUACACUAUGUACCAUAUAUUGGGCCUCAUGAAAAAUACUUGGGGGACUUAGCCCAUUAUUUAUGUACUGAGGAGCGAGCCAUUAUUCUAUAAAAAUGACUCCCUCACUUUCAUUAGAAAGCACCCAUCAUUUAUGUAUUGAGGAGCGAGCCCUUAUUCUAUAAAAGGGACUCCCUCACCUUCAUUAGAGAGCAUCGCCGCCUGCUGAGCAACCGCCUCGCCGCUAGCAUCAACUCUAGCCCAUCAUUUAUGUAUUGAGGAGCGAGCCCUUAUUUUAUAAAAGAGACUCUCUCACCAUCAUUAGAGAGCAUCAACUCUAGCCUAUCAUUUAUGUAUUGAGAAGCGAGCCCUUAUUUUAUAAAAGGGACUCCCUCACCUUCAUUAGAGAGCAUCGCCGCCAGCUGAGCAACCGCCUCGCCGCGAGCAUCACUCAUAACCCAUUAUUCAUGUACUGAGGAGCGAGCCUUUAUUUUAUAAAAGGGAUUCCCUCACCUUCAUUAGAGAGCAUCGCCGCCAGCUGAGCAACCACUUCGUUGCGAGCAUCACUCCUAACCCAUCACUUAUGUAUUGAGAACCGAGCCCUUAUUCUAUAAAAGGGGACUCCCUCACCAUCAUUAGAGAGCAUCGCCGCCUACUGAGCAACCGCCUCGCCGCAAGCAUCAACCUUAGCCCAUAUUUAUGUAUUGAGGAGCGAGCCAUUAUUCUAUAAAAGGGACUCCCUCACCUUCAACGCCACAAGCCGAGCCAACCAAGGUAACAUAAGCCACAAGCAGAACAACCUCGCAACAUAUGUUACUUCUAGUUGAGCAUCAUUUCAGAUUGGGCACCGCCUCAUAUCGAGUAUCAGUUCUAGACGACAUCUAGUUACUUCGGCACACACAUAGACUGAAUUUCAAGUCUCCAGCCAAAAGACUCUCUUGACUGAAGACUUGGGGGACUACUGUUUAUACCAUACUUAGGGCCUCUGUAUUUAGACCUCGUAUAAAUACUCGGAGGACUCAAAUGUAAUUAUGUAAUAAAUGGAGGGGCAAAUAUGUAAAAAGGGGAAGAGCCCUUAUUCUAUAAAAGGGCAUCAUCACCCUCACAAACCCUAAGCCUCCUCACAUCCCCUAAGCUCUAAGCUCUCUCAAAGCUCUCACUCUCAUAUGCAGAGCUCUAUCUCCCUCAGAAAUACAAUAUCAGUGUGGACGUAGCCCAAACAUUGGGGUGAACCACGAUCACGGUCGGAUUUCCGUUGUUCCAAGACCCCUUCGGUUUUGUGCAUCAACGAGAGUAUUUGUUGGGAACAACUUAAGCUUUCAAAAGAGACCUUUUGGGACCAAAUCGGUGUUGAUUUGGUCGGUUAAAAGUCUGAUUUUUUUAGAAGUCUGAAUUUCAGUUUAAAUAGGAAACCUUUUAUUUUCUAGUUAUCUUAUUCUAUUAUGUUUCCUUGUUUGAUUCUAAGACUUUUUUUAGGUAGGGUUUUAUUUUGUAUUAGUAUAAAUAAAGCUUUUUAGCUAUUAGAGUUUGAAGAAAGGGAGAUGGAGAACACAAUACUUUGGCUGUAGAGAGCUUUUGACGAUUCAAGUUUAUUUUCAAUGUAUUUUCUAUCUAUGUUUUGAAUAAUAUUUUGUUUUAUGAUUGUUAGUAACUAAUUUCGUUUGUUAGGGUGAGGCCACAAACCGUACCAAGAAUAUGCAGUUUCUUUUCAAUUUGCUUAUGAUAUUAUGCAUGCAAGUUUUGAAUUGUUAAUCACUGUGUUUGAAACUAUCUAAUUGUCUUGAUGAUUGGCCACCAUUAGAAUAUUUAGAAAAGUAAUUUGAUGCAAUUUUGGCUGAGGGCUGUCCCUAAAAUUGACUAAGGCUUCUUGUGGUUAAUAUGUGCAAUUUCUUAGGAUGAACAACACAUCUUAAGGGUUACAUGGUUUUUCAAAAGGUUUUCACAAAACUUAAUUAGUCUUGCAUGUUCACAUUCAAUCCGGACACCACGAACGGGUUGCAUGUUAGAUAUACGUUCUAUGUUGGAGGUUCCAAGUAGGACAUACUUCAGGAAAACCUAAACUUCAAAAUAUGCAUUUGUAAUUCAUAAAUAAUUGGAAGAACUACAUAGGAUUGUUAAGGUGACGGCGGAACCCUAGUGCUUAAAUAGAUUUUCAAAACUAUUUUCUUUUCUUUUAUGUACUUUGUCAAUUUAUUUAAUUGUUUUUAAUUUAAUUCAUUUUUAAUAUUUUAGCUUAUAAAAUCAUACUUUUUCAAACUUUGUUUUCAAAUAAUUAAUUAAGAUUUGGUUUUACAUAAAUUAUUCAUUCAAUCUUUGUGGAGAACAAUCUUGUUAGUGCCAACCAUACUACGAUUACCUUAUACUCUUGCAAGUAUUUUAAAUGUUUGUGUUGAUGCACAAAAUCCGACGGAUCUUGGACCAACGUAAAUCCGACCGUAAAUCAUACAAACGCACGAGAACACAAAGAUAUAUCGUGGUUCACCUCAAGUUGGGCUACCACACUAAUGUCAAUAAAUGUUGAUGAAGGUUACAGUAUGCAUGGAGGCUAUAAAGGCUUAGUAUUUGCUCUCUGUAUUAUUCUCUGCCUCUCUAUCUGUUUGCCUUUCCCGCUCAGUCCCCUAUAAGUGAAGGUGAGGAUAAUCCCUUUUAUAAAGUAAGGGUUCCCUCCCCUCUUACAUAAAUCAUGGGCUUAUUGGUGAAGCACAAAUAUAAGCCUAAAUAUCGAGGCCCAAUAUAUGGUACAACAGGAGUCCCCCAAGUUUUCUGUUAAGAGAGUCUUUUGGCUGGAGACUUCAAAUUCAAUCUAUGUGUGGACCGAAAUGACUAGAUGUCGUUCAGAACUAGUACUCAACAUGAGACGGUGCUUAACGUCAAGCAAUACUCAGCUAGAGGUAACACACGUUGCGAGGCUGCUCAGCUAAAGGCAAUGCUCUCGGCGACGCGGUUGCUCAGCUGAAGGUGGUGCUCAUUGCGAGACAGCUUGGCUUGUGGCAUUCCUCGUUGCGAGUAUGCACUCGACAUCAGCAUGAGCUCAUUAUGAGUUAAUUCUCGACAUGACUUGGAUCCGCUUGUUGGGUUUGUAUAUGGGUCUAUGUGUUGGCUGGAGACUUCAAAUCCAAUCCAUGUACGGGCCGAAGUGACUAGAUGUCGUCUAGAUCUGGUACUCGACAUGAGACGAUGCUUAACGUCAAGCAAUACUCAGCUAGAGGUAGCAUACGUUGCGAGGCUGCUCGGCUAGAGGCAAUGCUCUCGACGAAACGAUUGCUCGGCUAGAGGUGGUGCUCAUUGCAAGGCAACUCGGCUUGUGGCGUUCCUCAUUGCGAGUAUGCACUCGACGUCAGCGUGCGCUCAUUAUAAGUGAGUGUCUGAGCAAGUGGGUGUUCGGUCGGACAAGAGAUUAUCGUUCGGACUAAAUCUUUGUCACCAUAAGCAUGUGGCUCAGUGAUCCAUAGGCUGAUCCAUAGUGUUGACCACCAUAAUUUUGGUCCCUGGUUAAUCAAUAAAUUGUAUGAGUAUCGUAUACAAGCAAUCAAUCAUUAAAGUGUGCAUAUUGCGGGUACUGUCAUACAUAGAUCAUAUAAACAUACAAUAAUGUAGUAUGCCUAGUGAAAUGUGUAUGUGACAAUAUAAUUCAAUGAAAUUUAAUAAUGUAACAUAGAAUGCAUGUGGUGUGGUUGCCAUGGAUUAAUCUCCUUAAUGGGUUUUCCCAAACCGAUAGUGAGACAGUGGGUAAUCAAAUAAAGGUUAGCCCAAAGUUUUAUACUAAUAUUUAAAUAAUGAAUAAAAUAUUCAAAAAAUGAUUAAAGUUAUAUCAUUUUAAAAGAGGGAUGGCUGACAAUAUCAAAGGGUAAUAAUACUAAAGUUAUGAUAGGAAUGAUUAUGGUUUGUGAUGUGACCCGGCAUAAUAAACACACAACAGUAGUCAUGUAGCUUUAAUAUAAUGGCAAUGGGGACUCAUUAUAUAUAUAUAUUGUGAGGUGUCGCACUGUAUAUGCACACAGGUUAUGAAAACAAUAUAAUAUAUUGCUAACUGUGCACUAAAAUAUAAAUGUGAUAGAAAUGAUGUGGUCUCAUUUUAAAGAAUAUGCAUACUGUAAAGCAGACGCUGCAGUAACAAGAUCAAGACAAAAUAAUAAUAAAAUAUUAAAUAAACAGUGAUAAUUUUAAACAAAUCAUUUAAGAAAAGAUAAAGUUCUUAGCUUCUUCCAUGUUGAUGGUCGACACCUUGCGCUGUCAUGCUCAUGUUGCACACUGCACCAUAGUACGCAUAUUCUCUGAUAACCCACUCAGCCAUCGUGCCAAGCUUGUGAGCAGCUAUGCAGCAUUGGCAUAGUUAUGGUGCAGGUUUGUCGUGGUGUUAGAGGAAUGGAGCGAUAGAGACCAAGUCGAUGCCGACCACGAGGUUGCCGACGGGAACGCGAUGUACGGCGACUCAGGGAAGUCCUUGUGAAGCUGAUAAAAAAAAAUAUAGCUUCUUGUGAGCAGCAACAGACAGCAGAGCCUUGAGCCCUUUCACCGAGCUCGACAACAGAAACUCUGACGAUGGUGGUGGUGCAUUGACGAACUGGAUCGCGACAUCUAUCUCCCCACAGCAUUCAUCUUCGUCGACUUGAGCUCAGCUCUCCAUAAGGACCUUGUCCUGAUUCAUGAGGCAGAGAGGGGCAAUGGAAACACCAUCCUCGUUCUUUGUCAAGAACUUGCAGACGGGGCCGAGGCCGUACAACUGCUCGACAUUGCUGUCGUGAAGCGUGCGGAGGGAGUAAGUGAGGAUGGAGUAGCUAGCCAGGAGGUGCAGCAUGCGAUCCAGCAUAACGGGGGCGUCAGGGUUAUUGGUCAGUAGCUGCGAAGCUAAGUCCGCCGGAGAAACGAAUACGCCAGGCCCUGCUCUCGCCAUGAUCUCAAGGAGGUCAAGCUCAAGGGCUGCUUUGAGCACCAUAGGGAGAACAGAAGCGUUGGCUAGCUGCAUGGCGAAGAGGUUUGCUUCUUCGUCGGAGACUUGGGUUGGGUUGUGCAGAUUCAUGGUGGACAGUUGUAAGGGUUUCACAAUGGUGAGAUGAAAAAAUGAAAGAGAACCGACAUAACUUUUCCUGUCGUUUCCCACAGACGGCGCCAAAUGUUGAUGCACAAAAUUCGACGUAUCUUGGACCAACGUAAAUCCGAUCGUGAAUCACACAAGCGCACGAGAACACAAAGAUAUAUCGUGGUUCACCUCAAGUUGGGCUACGUCCACACUGAUGUCGAUAAAUGUUGAUGAAGGUUACAGUAUGCAUGGAGGCUAUAGAGGCUUAGUAUUUGCUCUCUGUAUUAUUCUCUGCCUCUCUAUCUGUUUCCCUUUCCCGUUCAGUCCCCCCUAAGUGAAGGUGAGGAGGAUCCCUUUUAUAGAGUAAGGGUUCCCUCCCCUCUUACAUAAAUCAUGGGCUUAGUGGUGAAGCCCAUAUAUAAGCUCAAAUAUCGAAGCCCAAUAUAUGGUACAACACUUUGUAUCCCUACUUUUGCAGGUGAUAAAAAUCCCUAUUAAGAAAUUGGCGCCGCUACCAGGGAUUGUUUUAAAUAAUUUGUGUUUAUCAUAUUCUUAGUUAAUUAUUUUUGUACAUAACUUUUUAUCUAAUUGAUUUUAUUUUUUUUAUAGGUAACAAUUUGUGCAACAAUGGAAUUUAUUCCUCCUCCUGGAUUCAAUAUACAACUAGGAGGACUGCCCUUAUGGGUCAACUCUGCAUAAUGGAGUUUUUUUAUGGAUUUAAAGCUACAAAUUGUGCACUUUGUUGUUUGAAGACCAUGAUAUGGCGCCACGUCACAGACACAUGGCAUCCAGUCAUGGUGACACGUCACAAUUAAUGGAAAAUUUAACAGUUUGACUAACGGAUGUAUGAGACUGUCCCAAAAUUUACACUUUAGGUAUGAAUCUGAGACGAAAAAAACUUGAUGUACUAAAUGUUGAAAACCACAAAACAUGAGGGUAGUAAACAGUCUUUUACCCAAAAAAUUAUUUUAAAAAUCAGAAAAUUGAACAACACAAAAACAACAAAUGUUUUUUUUUAAUCAGUAUUUUAUUUUGGGUUUUAUUCUAAUCAAAUUUUUAAUGUUUGAUCUUUGCAAGUUGCUUUUGGAGGCAAUUUAGUCCUAAAUUCCGCUGCAUGCAAUCAACAUUCAUUCGACUGAAUCAUGCAGCAUUCAUUCAUCUCAGUACAUUCAUCAACAUUUUAUCAAAGUUCAGAAAUUUAAAAAAGAAUGCGAACUGGAGUCUUGUGUUUCAGAAACCUUACAAUGGGUUGACUGUACUGCUUGGAAACUCCUUUCGCUCGCUCGCUCUCGUAUUUCAUAAGAAUAUUGUUUUACAUAUACGUUUGGGGGUGGUCCAGGCAGCACAGUGGGGAGCACAUUCAUCAAGUCAAUACACAGAUUGACCUCAUGUCCAAGAAAUUUUUAGUUGUGACGGGAAUACAAGUGGUACAUCACGUGUUUUAAUAGGAGUAGUGAGAAAUUUUAUUUUUUAAGUUAUUAACUUUUUAGCACACAUAUCCCACCAUUUGUAUAAUGACACGUGGUGUACUACCCUAUGUACCGAUCACAUUGAAAAAUCAUAAUGCACAGAUUUUUGAGCUCAUGUGUUCAUCAUCAAGAGACAUGCAAAAUAAAUUUAGUCAUACAUGAACACAGAGAAAAAUUUCAAGGGAAAGUAUACUAAUGCAUCACAUUAUAAACAGAUCCAAGGACUAACUUUCACAAAUUCAGAUCAAGAAACAACGAAUAAGUUUGGGGGUUGUCGGCUAUUUACCUUCCUUUUGGAUCUAAAAAUCAUAGGCUCUGCCAAAACUUUUCUUCCUCAUAUUGGCGCUUGAGUUCCGCAGAGGAAAUGCCCGAUGGUGACAAUCUGGGCUAGAAUCAAAGAUUGCCAUGGCUGGGUUCAGUUUUUGAUAAAGAUGGAAAUGAACAGAGAUACAACUAUGGGGGCAUGGCUGAGUAUUUGUUUUUGAGGUUGAGCUAUGGCCGAGGAAUGAUGAGAUCAUGGUGAAGUAUGUUUUGGACCAUGAGAUUCAUUGGAGGAUUUGAGUUUGGGGCAUGGGUUUGGUUUUCGAGAGAGAAAUGGCUCUGGGCUCAAGGAAUGAGCAUCCGAGUAGGCUUUAACAAGCUGGCUGGGAUGUUUUGGAUUUAGGCUUGGUAAUCAAUGGGUUGUUUCAUCUUCUGCUGGAAUGAGCCACAUCAUGGCACAUUUGCUUCAUGUCCAGUAGUCCAACAGCUUCAUUUUCAAGCAAGGUAAUAUCUUUCUUUUUCUUUGGUUUUGUUCAGCAUUUUCGCUUUUAUUAUUAUAUUAUCUUUUUCUUAAUUUCGGUUUUUAUUCUAUUCUCUAGCUAGCUGUUAGUUUAAGUUUAUUUUAUUUUUCACACCUUGAGGACAAUGUGUGUUUAAGUUUGGGGGUGGGAAAGUAAAAUCUUAGAUUUUUCUUUCUUGUUUUUUGAGAGUCCGUUUAAAUUUUUCGUUUUAAAUGGCUUAGCCUCUGUGGUGGGAUUAGUUGGAACUUUUGGAAAGAUGUUCUAAUUUUUAACGUUUUCUAUGGAUUGCAGUUUGAAGAUGAAAAUUUUGUCGUAGUUAAAUUUUGUUUAAGUACGUAGUUUGUUAGCUUUUGUUUUUGUUUUCUAGUUUUAUUUUGCUUGAGGACAAGCAAAAAGCUAAGUUUGCGGGUAUGUGAAUGAGUCGAUAUUAUCCACUCAAGUAAAUAGUAAUAGACCCCAGUGAACAGUAAUAGGCCAAAGCAUCUCCACCUCUACAAAAUGCGCUGGCACCCAGCCCAUUUAAAAUUUUAUACUUUUUUUAAAAGAAUAAAUAAAUAAAAAAUAGUUUUAUUUUCAGAUAACAUUUUUAACCAAGUUUGGAUAAAAUUUCAAAUAAACUUAAAAAAAAACACACACUAUAAUAAAAUUACAUACUCAUCAAAUAAACUUAAAAAAACACACUAAAAUAAAAUUACAUAAACUCAUCAAAUAAACAAAAAAAAAACACACUAAAAUAAAAUUACAUAAACUCAUCAAAUACACUUUAUUCUUCAACCACAAGCUUAUUUUAAUUAUCUUCACCUUCUUGCAAUCCCCACUGGUGCUCAAUCAAGUCAUUAUGGCGGGUUACGUGCCAGUAUGGCUCUUGCACAUCAGUGUACCGCUGAACGAUCAAUUCAUUGUAACGUCCAUCCCGUUCCAAUGGCUCGUGUUGCACGGGAUCUUCGGUCCGAUCAUGAGCACAGUAGAUACGUGUUCUUAAGUUGUUCAUCGGAUCCGGCUCAUAUUCAUCGACAGCAUCAUAAUCAUACUCAUCUUCCACAAUCAUGUUGUGGAGAAUAAUACACAUCAUCAUGAUGGAUUGAAGAGCUUCGACACCAAACAUUCUAGCAGCAGACCUGAUAAUCGCCCAACGAGCUUGCAGGAUACCAAAACAACGUUCCACAUCAUUCCUACACCCCUCUUGACAUUUUGCGAAGUGUUUUUCUUUUUCAGUCUGUGGAUGUGGCACUGUUUUGACAAACGUAGACCACCUUGGGUAAAUGUCGUCUGCAAGGUAGUAUGGUCCGUCGUAUUUAGUGUCAUUAACCCAAUAUGUGCCUGUCGUCGAUUUUCCUUGCAGCAGAUUGUCGAACACUGGAGAUUAAGCAAGGUCAUUUUGAGCUCUUGAAACACCAAAAAAAGCAUGCCAAAUCCAUGUAUCAAAUGAAGCCAUCACUUCCAAAAUGAUACUUUUGCCUCUUUUCUGUCACCAUAAGCUCUUUGCCACGCACUUGGACAGUUUUCCAACUCCAGUGCAUGCAGUCGAUACUUCCAAUCAUGCCAGGGAAGACUCGCAUCUCACCCUUCCUCAGAAACCUUCGCAUGUCCCUUGGCGGGUGUCCGGAUGUACUCAUUGGUGUACAGGGCUUCAAUUGCAUAGCAAAACCGCAUCAGGGACUCCAGAACAGUUGUUUUUCCCAUCCUCUCGAUCUCAUCCACUUGAUCUAGAUAAUACAUAUGCAAGCAUUCGCAAGGCAGCCGUAAUUUUUUGCUCUAGAAGAAGACCUGGAACACGAAAAGCAUCAUCUUUUUGCACAAAUAUGGAUCAUGGUUGCAAAUAGCAUUCAUGAUUUUGUUGAACAAACUUCGUUGCAUUCUAAAAUGACGUCUAAAAACAUGAUCAGGGAAUACGCUAUUGGGAAUAAAAUAAUCUUCCAAGAGAUCUUUAUCUCGUAUUUCCCUUUUUCUAUCGAAAUUUGUGGCACGUCUGGGUUUGGAUAUCUGGCCUACAGCUUUCAUGACACGGAGGGAAUGUGAGGCCCUCUGCCUUCUAUGGUCAUCAUCUGAGUCAUCCUCCAUUGCGAAAGCCUCAUCUCUACCUCCACCUUCCUCGAGAUUGAUCAAUUCUUCUUGUUGUGCCAACAAUCUUUUCUGUUGCUCCACAAAUUGUUCAUGCACUCUCCUUGAAGAAGACAUUGUAAAAAAAACUCAAGAUUUGAAAACGAUAAAGAUGGAUGCAGGGAUGUAUGGUUUAUAUGGACAAAAAAAAUUAAGGAUGAGCUUUUUGGUUUUUUUUUUUCACACAAAAAGUAUAUGAAAGCUUUGGUAGAAAGUGUAGAAAAUAUUGAAAUGUGGUGUAAGGUGGAAGAUGAGGGUUAGGUAUUUAUAGAAAAAAAAAUUAACUUUUUAAAAAAUUUUCUGUAUUUUUUAAUAAUUUUUCUGUAUUUUUUCAUAAUUUUUAAUAAAUUUUAAUAUAGUUAAUUAAUCUGGACCGUUGGAUUUGAAAAAUAUUCAAAUCCAAGAGCCAAGUGCUGCCACGUGGCCAACGGUCAUAAUUCUGACCGUUGGGCCUUUUUUAUUAUUUUUAUUUUUAUUUUUGGUGAAAAAAAUGUGGACCGUUGAUCUGUGAUCGGACGGUCCAUUUUAAAAGUCAAAUUUAAAUUUUUUUACCAUUGAAAAUCCAACGGUCUACAAAAACUAGCCGUUGUAAAUCCAACGACAUUGAGAGGGCCACAUCGCCUCCUUCUGUGUGAAGCACAAGUGGGCCACGUCCCCUACUCGCGCCCACUUGUGAGUGAGCUGCACGCGCCAGGCAAAUAGCCUGGCUCCUUGGUCAGUCAAUUUUGGGCUGGCCCAGAGACCAGCUUGGGCUGGGUGCCAGGCAAGUUGCUAGGCUGGAGUGAAUUGACAAAGUGCCAGCCUGGUUUUUUAACCAGGUGUUGGGCUAUUCCACCUCCGGUGGAACUGCUCUAAAGCCCUAGUGGUUUGGGAAUCAUUGACCUAAAGCUCGUUGCAUGGGUUGGAUCGAAAGCUUAAGGGAACUAACAUUGCAUAACCACUAUUGUUACUGGAAAAAAAAUAUGAAAAAAAAAAGAAAAAAAAAAGAGAAAGAGAAAAAUCGAAAAAAAAAUUAGUUAUGUUAAAGUUAGUAUGUGUGAAAUAAAGAGGAUGAGUGGUAAGGAUUUUAGUCGAGUCUCCCUAAUCAUGUUGGUUCACUUUACAUCAAAGGAAGUUUAUGAAUUCUUUUCUAAUUAAUUCUACAUGGCUUAGCCUCUGUGGUGGGAUUAGUUGGAACUUUUGGAAAGAUGUUCUAAUUUUUAACGUUUUCUAUGGAUUGCAAUUUGAAGAUGAAAAUUUUGUCGUAGUUAAAUUUUGUUUAAGUAUGUAGUUUGUUUGCUUUUGUUUUUGUUUCCUAGUUUUGUUUUUCUUGAGGACAAGAAAAAAAGCUAAGUUUGGGGGUAUGUAAAUGAGUCGAUAUUAUACUAUAUAUUUACCUUAUUCUUAGUAUUAAUUUAUGGGCUUAUUUUGUGUGAACUUUGAUACUUUGUUAUGUAUUUUCAAUGUAGGACAUUUGACUUCCUCUUAAGCAAAAAGUGACCAAACGGAUGAAUUUUCAAGUGAUUCCAAUUGGAGGAUGUUCGUUAGUCUUUCAAGAUGAUUGUAUCAAAGUUUCAGAUUUUUCUACCAUGUCGUUUGACCGUGGCAAUGAAAUAAAGGCCCAUCGCAUAACUUUUCCAGAUUGACAUUUUUGGACGUUUUGGGUAUUUUGGAGGUCAAUAUGACAUAUUUUGAGAAAGAUUCUUCUGAUUAUUUGUUGGGGACGACUUAAGCUUUCAAAAGCAACCUUUUGGAACCAAAUCGUAGUUGAUUUGGUCGGUCAAAAGUCUGAUUUUCUGAGAAGUCUGAAUUUCAGUUUAAAUAGAAAACCUUUUAUUUCCUAGUUAUUUUAUUCUAUUAUGUUUCCUUAUUUUAUUCUAAGAAUUUUUUAGGUAGGGUUUUAUUUUGUAUUAGUAUAAAUAAAGCUUUUUAGCCAUUAGGGUUUGAACAAAGGGAUGUGGAGAACACAAUACUUUGGCUUUAGAAAGCUUUUGACGAUUCAAGUUUAUUUUCAAGGUGUUUUCUGUCUAUUUUUUUAACAAUAUUUUAUUUUAUAAUUGUUAGUAACUAAUUUCAUUUGCUAGGGCGAGGCCAAGAGCCUUAGCAAGAAUGUGUAAUUUCUUUCAAUUUGCUUAUGAUAUUAUGCAUGCAAGUUUUGAAUUGUUAAUCACCGUGUUUGAAACUAUAUGAUUGUCUUGAUGAUUGGCCACCAUUAGGAUAUUUAGAAAACUAAUUUGAUAUCAUUCGUGUUCCCAUGAUUUGAUUUACCCUAAUAACCACAUAGUAAAAUAGUUUUUUUUAUAUAUUUAAAUUUAAAAAAAAUAAACAAUUGUCGUGGUCCAUAAAAUAUAGGGUAAAAGACAGUUUACUACCCUCAUGUUUCGUGGUUUUCAACAUUUAAUACAUCAAUUUUUUUCGUCUCAGAGUCAUACCUAAAGUGUAAAUUUUGGGACAGUCUCAUACAUCCUUUAGUCAAACUGUUAACUUUGCUGUUAAAUGAUGAUGUGGCGCCCACGUGGACAAUGAUUGGGCGCCACGUGUCAUUAAAAAAAAAUUUAAAAAAUUAAACUAUUAAAAUAAUUAAUUAAAUAAAAGUUAUAAAAAAAAUUUUAAAAAAAAUUCCCCAUAUCCUCUCUUCCCCACCUCGAUCCCCCUCCCUUCUCCCUUUGCACCUUUGCAAAUCCUUCCUCCUGUGAAGCUCUGCUCAUCCGUCCUUCCCCAGAUCUCCUGAUCCCUCUGCACCUUCAUCAUUCCCCAGAACCCCUUCGUCUUCCACGACACACACACCCACAACCCCUACGUCUUCCGCGACACACACACACAGCUGUCAACUUAAGUCUUAAACUGAACUAACAGUUCAUUUGUUUAGGGAUUAAACGGUAAUUUACUGUAUAUUUUUAUAUGUUCGGUAAACUCUCGCUAUCUGGUCUUGGUUAGCAAACUGGAAAAGAAUUUAAAAACGGGGAGAAAAGAGAGACUGUGCUGGUCAAGACGCCUCAUGCACCAGAUGGACCGUCUCAUCUGCCUCUCUUUCCGGGGAUAGAGAGAGAGAGAGAGAGAGAGAGAGGUAGACAGGGAAAGAGCAACUGCUAAAAUCGCUGCCGAUCUGGACCAACCCAGUAUGCGGUUAAAGCCCUUCAACUCCUUCAGCAUCGCCUUCAUGAUGAGCGGCGCACUCUUGCUCGUUUUCUUCUGCAGCUUCCUCGAAUUCCCUUUUCUAUCAACCUCAAUCAAACCCAUCAACGAUCCGACCAAGUUCACACCCGACCCAUUUACUAACUUGAUCGGCGCCUUCAGGAAGUGGGAUGCCCAGGUGGGUUGCUCUCGUUUCAGAGAGAAGCACAAGCUGCAGAUGUUGCAGAGCAAGUCUUCUUCUCUGCAGCAAAUUCGCGGCGAAUCGGAGUGCGGGGAGACGAAAUCAGAGCAUGUUAGCGUGCUGGUGAAAGGGUGGACUUGGAUUCCUGAUAAUUUGGAUAGUUUGUAUUCAUGCUCGUGUGGGUUGAGCUGCAAAAUUUGGAUAAUUUGGAUAAUUUUGGAGCUGCAAAAUUAACUUGUAUUGGGAUGGAGGGGGUGGAGCCGUGGAGGAAGACGAAUGGUUGUGGGUGUGUGUGUCGCGGAAGACGAAGGGGUCUAGGGAAGGAUGGAGGUGCAGAGGGAUCUGGGGAUCUGGGGAAGGACAGAUGAGCAGAGCUCCAUAGGGGGAAGGAUGUGCAGAGGUGCAGAGGGAAAAGGGAGGGGGAUCGGGGUGGGGAAGAGAGGAUCUGGGGAAUUUUUUUUUAAAUUUUAUUUAAUUAAUUAUUUUAAUAGUUUAAAUUUUUUUAAAUUUUUUUAAUGACACGUGGCGCCUAGUCAUUGUCCACGUAGGUGCCACGUCAUCAUUUAACGGCAGAGUUAACAGUUUGACUAACGGAUGUAUGAGACUGUCCCAAAAUUUACACUUUAGGUAUGAUUCUGGGACGAAAAAAAAUUAAUGUACUAAAUGUUGAAAACCACAAAACAUGAAGGUAGUAAAUUGUCUUUUACCCUAAAAUAUAUUAUUAGAAAACUGUUAUUGAUACUUCGAAAAUACAGUCAUCUUAGAAUAACCACAUUGUGUCGAGAAUAGGCGUAACAUAUUUUUGGUAAGAAUGGUAGGUGAAAUUGGGAAAGGUACGUAACUGUUUCUAAAAAUAAUCAGAAAAUUAGAAGGGUUUUAAGGGGUCCAUGUAUCAUUAGUUUCACCUACACUUAAGCAAAAGGCAACCCUAGCUUACUAUUGCACUUUAAUCGUGUCCUACAAUGCCACUAAACUCAAUUAGUAUAUGACUAAAUUGUUAUUGGUGCUACAAAAACGAGUAUAUCAAUCGAGAAGAAGCAUAACUUUAGCAUCAAAUUAAGGCACAUAUAUAGAAAAUUAAACAAAAUAAGAAGUUAUUUCUACACCUAAGAAAACCAGAGAGAGAGAGAGAGAGAGAGAGAGAAACAUAUGUUGAAGAUGAGGUUCUUAUUGGUAGCUUCCCAUGCCAAACCUCCUCUGAAAUGAAUGGACCAAACCAACACCAACACCUUCAACCUCGAGCGUGUGUACCACAAACGUGAACGCUACCGCCGGUACCUUUAACGCCAUCUCUUUCUCUCUUCUUAUUUUGGGUUUUACAUCCAAAAUAAAACAUAAUAUUGUGGGAUUCUGCUAAAUAAUUAGUAAUGUUAGUUUGAAACAAUUGGAUUUCACUCAAAACAGAUAAUUUGUCUGCAUUUUCGCUUCUAGUGUAGGGUUUGAUCCAGUGUACUUUUGGACUGUUUGGCUAGUUAUGUACUUUUGUAUUUGGACUGUUUGGCUAGCUAUGUAUUCUCUUCAAGCAUCAUUUCUGUUUCACUACUCGAAAUGAUCUGAAGCUCCUUAUCGACUGAAGGCACCAGAAAGUUGUGUUUGCCGAAGCUUGCAAAUACUGUUGUCACUCUCCUUUCUUUUGGCGCUCUUUAAAGCUCCUGUAUACUUUUUUUGUAAGGUCUAUUAUUUAUUUUCUUCGUGAAAAUAUAUGGUUCAACAUUGUCGUUUAAGAUGGGACGGGGGUUCUAGAGAGUUCGUGCAGACAGCAGAUCUAUAACACACCGAAGUUUGUAAACUAGCUAAUUUGACACAAUAUCCCAUUUAUGUAUUCUAUAAAAUUUUAUGUUGUGCUUUUUUUUAAGUGUGUGAAAUUGCUUAAGCAAUCAUUGCAAUCAAAGACGGUUCUCACCAAUGUGUUCCUCGGAGGGAAGAUAACAUGCAUUCAAAGACAGUUCUCCUUUCACCAAUUUGUCGGUUUAGUUGAACAAAGGUUUCUUUCACUAAUUUUAAUUUUAAGGUUUCUUUCACUAAUCUUAGUCCACCCAUGGUUACUAAAGAUAUUGUGCAUGGUUGGGUUGUGUUUUGACGAAAAACCUAAAAUGAAUGCAUGCUUGAGUCGAAUUCGAGCUCAAAUAGCUUAACACGAAAUCAUAUUUGAACUAGACUUGUUUAUAGUUAACUUGAUAUAAUUCACACCCAACUUUGGUUAAACUUAAUAGUAACAAGUUUGUCGAGCUUAAAACUUAUAAAUGAAGACAACUACAAGUCUUUUAACAGAAAUUUUUCAAUGUGUCAAGAAUACGGCAUCAAGUAUCAUAAUAUAAUUAGUUAAAAAAUAUUUUUAUUAAAUUUCAACCAUAAGAUAAAAGUGAGCCUUGCUUCGAGCCUUGCUUCGACCAUAAGAUAAAUGAAGACAACUUAUAACUACGAGCCUUGCUUCGAGCUUAAAACUUAUAAAUGAAGACAACUACGAGCCUUGCUUCGACCAUAAGAUAAAAGUGAGCCUUUCAUUAUUUUCCUUUAGAAAAAGAAAAGUUGUGGAAAAAGAGAGUGGAAUCGGCGUCCAAGCACAAUCAGUCUUGCCUUUCGUACAAAUCCCACCUCUAAUAUUUUACCACUGCAUGUUUCCCUUCACUUUCUUAUUUUUACAAAAGUUUGAAAAGAAAAAUAAACAUAAUUUAAUGAUCCAAUUGAAUAAUGCAGAAGUCUUUGCCUUUCGUACAAAGCUCAUGCAUACUCAUCAAUUAAAAUUUCAGCGACGACAACAAAGUAGAAUAAAUGAGUGUGAUUUAACAUCCGAUUUUUGUGAUAUAGAGGAUUCUCAAUGCAAAAUCUAUAUUUUUCUUAACAAAUGAUAUUAUCUACGCUAAGGAGGUAAGGGAGUGAGCUAAGUCUCACAAUAGGCUAGCACUAAUGUGGUUCAAAUUGAGAAUCGAACCUAAAACCUCUCACUUGCAAGUGAAGAGGAAUACCGCAUAUAUUUUUAUAUUUAAAUUUUAAAAAGUGGCCACUUUGAGGUUUUGGCUUUCUGAUUGAUUAGGAGUUAAUCUUAGCGGCAGCUUAUGACACACCCCGACCCGGAACGUCCACUAGGAUUUCGAAUCGAGAUGUGCCAGCACGUCUUGAUUUUAGGUCAGGGUGUGUUAGCUUAGGCCGAUUUUUAGAACGUUUUUAUACUUUUUUGAUAGAAUUAUUAUCUCAAUAGUCAGAUGAUCGUUGUAUUAAAUACAUAUAUUCACAUGAAUUCUAUCAGACUGUCACAUAGUGAUUAUAUUUUAUACAUAUAAGUAUUGUAGCCAAUCCCUAAAAUAGAAUAUAUAAUACUUGCAUCCUCUAUUUGUGAAUAUUGCAUCUUGACUGAUAAAAUCAACAAUCAGAACUGUUCAAUCACUCAUCAAAUAAAUGAACGAUUCAUUGUGAAUAUAUUACUUAGUAUCCACACCUUCAAUCUGUUCUAUACAUUUAAAUGACUAAAUGGUCUUCGAUUGAAAUGAUCUUUUGUAAAGGGUUAUCUUCAAACGAAAACUAAGAAAUCGAACAAUUUCGAUUAUAAAAUUUUUACAGUCAAAAUAUGUCAUUCGCAAAGAGGAAAUGAGCUCAUGCUCAUCCCAAAAAAAGUAUGCAAGUAUUAUCCAAUAAAAUAUAGUACAAUACAGGUAGGGGUGAGUUCAAAAAACCGAAAACCGAAAAAACCGAAAACCAAACCGAAUUCUUUUGGUUCGGUUCGGUUUUAGUGAUCUAGAAACCGAACCGAAUUAAUUAAAUUAAUUUUUUUAUUUAAUUAUUUGUUUUGGGUAUUAUUUUCUAAACCCAAUUUGUAAGUUAAAAUGUACUAAACCCAAUGUGUUGCCAAACUUUAAGCUCAAAAUAUUAAAAAAAGGCCUAUAAAAACUCUAAACCCUAACCUAUUAUUUCUCCCCCAUAUAAGGUUCCGGAACCAAACCUCCUCCUGAAAUACCUACAUCCAUCUCCAUAGCACUGUCUACUUCUGCCCCAUCUUUCUUUUCCAAAUCUACUCUCAUAACAUGUAACAAAAUCCAUAAACAUUUAUUUUGGGUAGAUUACUUGGGUAAUUUGUGAUGGAAAAGAAUCCAACACACACUAAAUAAAUCCACCCACGCAUUAUUUUUACUAAUCAAGUUGUCAACAUGCAGUUACAAGCAAACAACCCUGAUCUUUGAACAACAUCAUGCAAUUUAACUUUUCUAAGUCAUUUGUACGAUUUUUGUGUUGAGAGGUUGUUAGUUUGGACUUUGGAAGACUUGAUUAAUGAUUUUAGUUCAACUUUAAAUGUUUAUUUUCAUUGUCUUUGAUUCUAGUUAGAAUGCUUAUGUUAUGAUUGUGUUGGAUAUGUUAAAAUUUAAAAUUUCAAUGUUUUUCAUUUUUUGAAAAAAGACAAAAAACAAAAAACCGAAACCGAACCGAAAAAAACCGAAAAAAAAAUGAACCGAACCGAAAUUUCGGUUUGGUUUCGGUUUUGGCAAAAAACCGAACCGAUUUAAACCGAACCCACCCCUAAAUACAGGUGUAUAGCCAAAAGUGAACCGAUUAAAACUUAUCAAUCAAAUUUGUGGCCUGAGUAAUUUUUAAUGAAGGGUUGAAAUUCUAUAAAUAGGUCCAUUAUUGCAAGUAUGAUGCACUAAACUUUAGUUGCUUGAAAAUAUACUCAUCAAAACUCUCUGUGUGCAUGGAAAACCCCAAGCCAAGUAUUUGCUUGAAGCUCCUUGUCGAUACAAAGCGUCAACGAGUUCUCUUUGCUGAAGCUGGCAAAGACUUUGUGGACUUUCUCUUCACACUCCUGUCUUUGCCCAUUGGCACUGUCAUCGGGCUCCUUCCCAAAGAUGGCAUGGUUGGCUCGUUAGGCAAACUUUACGGCAGUGUCAAGAGCCUAAGCAGCACAUACAUGCAACCUUACUUUAACAAGGAAUCCCUCCUGAAACCUAAGGCAACAGCAACGAUUGGUGUUGGUGCCGAUGUCCUUCAUAUGCUGAUGAUAGACGACUCCACUGCUGAAAAGUCAUU
Molecule: long non-coding RNA, 24455 nt
Filed under: Malus domestica (apple)
Lineage: Eukaryota; Viridiplantae; Streptophyta; Magnoliopsida; Rosales; Rosaceae
Description: long non-coding RNA (MDOM_LNC001022)
Source: RNAcentral